RNAcentral lists this long non-coding RNA (2267 nucleotides) under Capra hircus (goat). RNAcentral's name for it is "lncRNA (ENSCHIG00000001011.1)". The record is from RNAcentral. Lineage: Eukaryota; Metazoa; Chordata; Mammalia; Artiodactyla; Bovidae.
AAUCGGACACGGCUGAGCGCCCACACUUGCUGCAAGGAGUAAUGAUUUCAGGCACAGAGACCUUGAUGCCUGCAGUCUUGGUUCUCAGCCUCGGUGCUGUGAACAUCCUGUUCAUGUUUGACUUUGUGCGACCCCAUGGACUGUAGCCCGCCAGGUUCCUCUGUCUGUGGGACUCUCCAUCAAGCAUACUGGAGUGGGUGGCCAUGCCCUCCUCCAGGGGAUCUUCCCAACCCAGGGCUUGAACCCACGUCUCCCGCAUUGCAGGUGGAUUCUUUACCAUCCAAGCCACCAGGGAAGCCCACAUGAACAUCCUGGCAGGCUCUUAAUUAUAUAAAAAAAUCAACAAAUUUAUUUACAUUGUGCUUACUGAGUGCCCAGUAGAAUGAUGAGCCCUUUAUGUCUAUUAACUUUAUAUAUAUGAUACCAAUAUUAUUAUUAACUUUUUAAUUUUUCCAACCAACAUGAGGUAGUACUAUUAUUAUCCCCAUUUCAUAGGUGAGGGAGCUGACAGUUCGUGACUUGCCCAAGGUCACGGCUAGCAAGCAGGAAGGCUAACUUUCUGCCAGCAGGUCUGUCAUGGGCGAGGAGACUUUGGGCUCCAAGGUGGACUCAUUGAGAGUACCUGGAAUGUCUUCCCCUACAGCUGAAGCUGGGCUGGUGGAGGCAUUCCUGGCCGACUUGGCUGCCUGUGACUGGGUUCAGUCAGAGCCUCAGCAUUGACUUACAGAUGCCCAUCACUGGACACCACAUCUCGGGCCACAGCAGGUCCGUGUGGAUCUGUGUCUGUGUACACCAUGGCCCCAUCUCCCAGCAGCUCCCAUGGCUUGUAUCCAUGGAAACGCAGUCCUCCCCACUCUAGCACUCUGGCUGAUAAACACUGGGAGUCUCCCCAGCCCCCCACCCACCUUGGAGGAAAAGCAUGGACCACAAGGGCUCCCACUGAGCAGGAGGAUACCAUUGACAGAGAAGGUGCUACUUUCUCAGUUGCUUUCAGAGUCAAGGCAAGGCCAAGCAUCCAGGCCCUUCCCCUGCUGGUCUGUGGUCAAGGCUUUGUUGUCUGUUUAAGGGAGAACAAAGUUGCCACCAGAUCUCAGAAGCAAAAGAAAGGGUCAUGGAAUCAUUCAAUGGACAUCGAUAGGGACCUCCCUGGUGGUCCAAUGGUUAAGAAUCCACCGUCCAAUGCACGGGACUUGGGUUCGAUCCCUGGUCAGGGAACUGAGACCCUACAUGCCAUGGGGCAGCUAAGCCAGCACGUUGCAACUGUAGAACCCAGGUGUCCUGGAGCCCCGAGACUUGCAACUAGAGAAAAGGCCAUGACCUGCAACGGAGGCUCCUACGUGACGCAACUGAGACCCAACACAGCCGAAAAUAGGUAAGUAAACAAAUACUUUUUUAAAAAGGACAUGGACAGUUACUGAAUAAGCACAGCUUGUGUCUCCUCUUGCUUAGGGCAAGCAGGGCUAGGCUGAUGUCACAGCGGCCACUCCUGUGGGCUCCAAGGGAGCAGGAGCCCCGUCCUUUCCCUCAGAACAUCCAGCGUGACUGAAGGACCCCAGGGACCCGCAGCUGCAGGGCAGCAAAGUCAGUCCCAACCUUCCCCCUCUGUUGCUCACCCCACAUAUCUGUCUUUUCCCUGUGGGGAAACAGGAGGACUAGAGGUCUAGAACCUAAGUUCUAAGGACUGUCCGGUCCACUUCUGGCUUCCAGACCCCGUAGGUCCUUUUCUUUAAGCCCCAGGGAGGCUGGGGAGCCAAGAUGCUUAAUUUGUUGUCCCGGAGCAAAGUCACACUGACCCUGGGAGGUAAAUACUAUCAUUCUCCCCAUUUCACAGAGAAGGAUACUGCGGCCCAGAAGAUUUUGGGACUGGCCCAAGGUGCCCCAGGUGUGGGUGGCAGAGCUGGGGUAUCAAUUCAGGUCAGUGGCACUCCAGGGCCCCGCUCUCUCGCUGCUCUGCACACCGCCCUCAGGAACUCCGGUGAACCUCCUCAAAUCCUUUGGGAAGCAGAGAAGAUAUAAAUAGCACGUGGGAUUGGGGAGAGAAAACAGCAAGUUGCAGAACCAUACACACAGGAUGAUUGGAGCUGUGUGCAAAACAGCCUCAGAAUGACAUGUGCCGAUGUGUAUACACGUAUAUGAGAGGAAAUGCACAGAAGUAGGCCUGGGAGGAGACCUCUGCUGCUGCUUGAACCAUGUUCAUCUCUGGGUAGGGGAGGGGAGAUGGGGCACGGGGGCUUGUUCCUUCAUCAUCCAAUAUAUUUCUGAAUUGG